GCCUUCUUAGCUCAGUGGUAGAGCGCGUGGCUUUUAACCAUCGUGGUUGUUGGUUUGAUCGCCCACAGACGGUG
RNAcentral lists this transfer RNA (74 nucleotides) under Ipomoea nil (Japanese morning glory). It matches the Rfam family "tRNA". Rfam says of the family: Transfer RNA (tRNA) molecules are approximately 80 nucleotides in length. Their secondary structure includes four short double-helical elements and three loops (D, anti-codon, and T loops). Lineage: Eukaryota; Viridiplantae; Streptophyta; Magnoliopsida; Solanales; Convolvulaceae. The record is from Rfam by way of RNAcentral.